Molecule: unclassified non-coding RNA, 378 nt
Filed under: uncultured Simkaniaceae bacterium
Lineage: Bacteria; Pseudomonadati; Chlamydiota; Chlamydiia; Parachlamydiales; Simkaniaceae
Description: contains 16S-23S intergenic spacer region
Source: RNAcentral
UCCUGGUUAACCCAGGCAGUCUCACUAGAGUCCCCGCCUUGACGCGUUGGCAACUAAUGAUAAGGGUUGCGCUCGUUGCUGGACUUAACCAAACACCUCACGGCACGAGCUGACGACAGCCAUGCAGCACCUAUAUAACAGUCCUUGCGGAAAUAACCAUCUCUGGUUACGUCUAUUACAUUUCGAGCCUGGGUAAGGUUCUUCGCGUUGCAUCGAAUUAAACCACAUGCUCCACUGCUUGUGCGGGCCCCCGUCAAUUCUUUUGAGUUUCACCCUUGCGAGCGUACUCCCCAGGCGGUAUACUUAUCGCGUUAGCUUCGACACAGUCAGGGUUGAGCCCAACUACAUCAAGUAUACAUCGUUUACGGCAAGGACUAC